This 406-nucleotide ribosomal RNA is filed under the name uncultured bacterium. RNAcentral's name for it is "partial 16S ribosomal RNA". It matches the Rfam family "Bacterial small subunit ribosomal RNA", at positions 30 to 526 of the family's 1533-position model. The record is from RNAcentral.
AUUGAACGCUGGCGGCAGGCCUAACACAUGCAAGUCGCACGAGUGGCGGACGGGUGAGUAAUGUCUGGGAAACUGCCUGAUGGAGGGGGAUAACUACUGGAAACGGUAGCUAAUACCGCAUACCAUCGGAUGUGCCCAGAUGGGAUUAGCUCGUUGGUGGGGUAACGGCUCACCUCGGCGACGAUCCCUAGCUGGUCUGAGAGGAGGACCAUCCAAACUGGAACUUAGACACGGUCCAGACUCCGACGGGAGGCAGCAGUGGGGAAUAGUGCACAAUGGGCGCAAGCCUGAUGCAGCCAUGCCGCGUGUAUGAAGAAGGCCUGCGGGUUGUAAAGUACUUUCAGCGGGGAGGCGUUACCCGCAGAAGAAGCACCGGCUAACUCCGUGCCAGCAGCCGCGGUAAUUC